GAGGGUAUAACUCAGGGGCAAGAGUGCGUGCCUAGCAUGCAUGAGGUCCUAGGUUCAAUCCCCAGCACCUCCG
RNAcentral lists this transfer RNA (73 nucleotides) under Camelus bactrianus (Bactrian camel). It matches the Rfam family "tRNA". From Rfam's summary of the family: Transfer RNA (tRNA) molecules are approximately 80 nucleotides in length. Their secondary structure includes four short double-helical elements and three loops (D, anti-codon, and T loops). The record is from Rfam by way of RNAcentral. Lineage: Eukaryota; Metazoa; Chordata; Mammalia; Artiodactyla; Camelidae. RNAcentral also lists the same sequence under 1 other name.